Molecule: ribosomal RNA, 495 nt
Filed under: uncultured bacterium
Lineage: Bacteria
Description: partial 16S ribosomal RNA
Rfam family: Bacterial small subunit ribosomal RNA
Source: RNAcentral
GAUGAACGCUGGCGGCGUGCCUAAUACAUGCAAGUAGAACGCUGAAGGAGGAGCUUGCUCUUCUGGAUGAGUUGCGAACGGGUGAGUAACGCGUAGGUAACCUGCCUGGUAGCGGGGGAUAACUAUUGGAAACGAUAGCUAAUACCGCAUGACAACAGUUAUUGCAUGAUAACUGUUUAAAAGGGGCAACUGCUCCACUACCAGAUGGACCUGCGUUGUAUUAGCUAGUUGGUGAGGUAACGGCUCACCAAGGCGACGAUACAUAGACGACCUGAGAGGGGGAUCGGCCAAACUGGGACUGAGACACGGCCCAGACUCCUACGGGAGGCAGCAGUAGGGAAUCUUCGGCAAUGGACGGAAGUCUGACCGAGCAACGCCGCGUGAGUGAAGAAGGUUUUCGGAUCGUAAAGCUCUGUUGUAAGAGAAGAACGAGUGUGAGAGUGGAAAGUUCACACUGUGACGGUAUCUUACCAGAAAGGGACGGCUAACUACGUG